Molecule: ribosomal RNA, 460 nt
Filed under: uncultured bacterium
Lineage: Bacteria
Description: partial 16S ribosomal RNA
Rfam family: Bacterial small subunit ribosomal RNA
Source: RNAcentral
CCUACGGGGGGCAGCAGUGAGGAAUAUUGGUCAAUGGACGAGAGUCUGAACCAGCCAAGUAGCGUGAAGGAUGACUGCCCUAUGGGUUGUAAACUUCUUUUAUAUGGGAAUAAAACGUUCCACGUGUGGGAUUUUGUAUGUACCAUAUGAAUAAGGAUCGGCUAACUCCGUGCCAGCAGCCGCGGUAAUACGGAGGAUCCGAGCGUUAUCCGGAUUUAUUGGGUUUAAAGGGAGCGUAGGUGGAUUGUUAAGUCAGUUGUGAAAGUUUGCGGCUCAACCGUAAAAUUGCAGUUGAAACUGGCAGUCUUGAGUACAGUAGAGGUGGGCGGAAUUCGUGGUGUAGCGGUGAAAUGCUUAGAUAUCACGAAGAACUCCGAUGGCGAAGGCAGUUCACUGGACUGCAACUGACACUGAGGCUCGAAAGUGUGGGUAUCAAACAGGAUUAGAUACCCGUGUAGUC